AAGUCGUAACAAGGUUUCCGUAGGUGAACCUGCGGAAGGAUCAUUAUUGAAUCUUCUAAACCUUCUGUUUCUCUUAGAAACGUGAAGCACCCCUUUGUGCACUCGACAUUUGACGCUGCUUUCCCCGGUUUCGGUCGGGGGAAGAGCAAAACAAAACAACUUUACUAUUUUCCACAUCAUUCAAUGAAUGACUUAACCAAAAAAUAAAACAAAACUUUCAACAACGGAUCUCUUGGCUU
RNAcentral lists this unclassified non-coding RNA (239 nucleotides) under fungal sp. RNAcentral's name for it is "partial internal transcribed spacer region". The stretch from base 1 to 46 matches the Rfam family "Eukaryotic small subunit ribosomal RNA", at positions 1786 to 1831 of the family's 1831-position model. The record is from RNAcentral. Lineage: Eukaryota; Fungi.